GAGCUUGUUUCAGCAGCACAUAUAAUACAAUUAGAAUGACACAGAGAAAUUUAGAUGGCUCCUGUGCAAGAAGAAAGUAAAAUACAAAAAAAACCGAUUUUUUUU
This is a small nuclear RNA of Arvicola amphibius (Eurasian water vole), 105 nucleotides long. The record is from RefSeq and is a predicted model, not a curated record. Lineage: Eukaryota; Metazoa; Chordata; Mammalia; Rodentia; Cricetidae.